AGCAGCCGCGGUAAUUCCAGCUCCAAUAGCGUAUAUUAAAGUUGUUGCAGUUAAAAAGCUCGUAGUUGAAUUUCGGGGUCAAUAAGUUGGUCGUGCCAAUGGUAUGUACUGGCUUUAUUGAUUCCUACCUCUUGACGAACUGUGAUGCCAUUAAUUUGGUGUUGCAGGAAAUCAGGACUGUUACCUUGAAAAAAUUAGAGUGUUUAAAGCAGGCUUACGCUUGAAUACAUUAGCAUGGAAUAAUGAAAUAGGACGUUUGAACCUAUUUUGUUGGUUUCUAGGAUCGACGUAAUGAUUAAUAGGGAUAGUUGGGGGCAUUAGUAUUCAAUUGUCAGAGGUGAAAUUCUUGGAUUUAUUGAAGCUAACUACUGCGAAAGCAUUUGCCAAGGAUGUUUUCAUUAAUCAAGAACGAAAGUUAGGGGAUCGAAGACGAUCAGAUACCGUCGUAGUCUUAACCAUAAACCUAUGCCGACUAGGGAUCGGAUGAUGUUAAUUUUUAAUGUACUCAUUCGGCUCCUUA
This 520-nucleotide ribosomal RNA is filed under the name uncultured Glomus. Its description in RNAcentral is "SSU rRNA". It matches the Rfam family "Eukaryotic small subunit ribosomal RNA", at positions 569 to 1090 of the family's 1831-position model. The record is from RNAcentral. Lineage: Eukaryota; Fungi; Glomeromycota; Glomeromycetes; Glomerales; Glomeraceae.